AGUGAACGCUGGCGGUAGGCCUAACACAUGCAAGUCGAACGGCAGCACAGUAAGAGCUUGCUCUUACGGGUGGCGAGUGGCGGACGGGUGAGGAAUACAUCGGAAUCUACUUUUUCUUGGGGGAUAACGUAGGGAAACUUACGCUAAUACCGCAUACGACCUACGGGUGAAAGCAGGGGAUCUUUGGACCUUGCGCGAUUGAAUGAGCCGAUGUCGGAUUAGCUAGUUGGCGGGGUAAAGGCCCACCAAGGCGACGAUCCGUAGCUGGUCUGAGAGGAUGAUCAGCCACACUGGAACUGAGACACGGUCCAGACUCCUACGGGAGGCAGCAGUGGGGAAUAUUGGACAAUGGGCGCAAGCCUGAUCCAGCCAUACCGCGUGGGUGAAGAAGGCCUUCGGGUUGUAAAGCCCUUUUGUUGGGAAAGAAAAGCAGCAGGUUAAUACCCCGCUGUUCUGACGGUACCCAAAGAAUAAGCACCGGCUAACUUCGUG
Molecule: ribosomal RNA, 492 nt
Filed under: uncultured bacterium
Lineage: Bacteria
Description: partial 16S ribosomal RNA
Rfam family: Bacterial small subunit ribosomal RNA
Source: RNAcentral